AUUUUAGUGUUUUAUUAUUUAAUUAUUUUAGAACUUUUCUCUGUCUUUGGUCUCCUUGAAGGUAUAUGCCUAGCAGUGAGAACUCUGAGGCAAAGGGUAUGGAUAUUUUAGUCACUUUAAAAAAAAACCUUCAUUCCAAACUGAUUUCCAUAAUGAUCACACUUAAUCACAGCUUUGCUAAUAGUAUAUUCAUGUGCCUGUCAUUCUAUAGGGCAAUUAGAUGGCACAAUGGAUGGAGUACCAGGUCUAGAGUCAGGAGAAUUCACCUUCCAAAAUUGAAAUCUGGUCUGAGACACUCGCUGUGUUACUCUGGGGGGCUAAUAAUAAAGCACACCACCUACCCAAGGCCUGGGAGAGGAACGAUGGAAUCAAGAUACAGAAUGAAACCUUUUUUAAAAUUAACAAUAUGGAAAUGUGUUUUGACUGACUAAAGCAUAUUUGUCAUGAAGAGUUUUAGUUUUCUCUCAUUUUGAAAGUAAAGAGGAUAUGAGAGAAAGAAAUAAAAUUUUGGUUUUUUUGGAAAAAAAAUUUAAA
This 534-nucleotide long non-coding RNA is filed under the name Monodelphis domestica (gray short-tailed opossum). RNAcentral describes it as "lncRNA (ENSMODG00000047570.1)". Lineage: Eukaryota; Metazoa; Chordata; Mammalia; Didelphimorphia; Didelphidae. The record is from RNAcentral.